AAGUCGUAACAAGGUUUCCGUAGGUGAACCUGCGGAAGGAUCAUUAUCGAAUCAAUCUAGAGUCGGUUGUCGCUGGCCCUUUUGGGCAUGUGCACACCUUCUCUUUCAUCCACACACACCUGUGCACUUGUGAGACGGAAGCCCCUCGGGUGUCUGUCUGCUCUACAUAAACUCAUAUAUAUAUAUAAAUUGAAUGUAAUUGAUGCAACACAUCUUUAAACAAAGUUUCAACAACGGAUCUCUUGGCUCUC
This 251-nucleotide unclassified non-coding RNA is filed under the name fungal sp. RNAcentral's name for it is "partial internal transcribed spacer region". The stretch from base 1 to 46 matches the Rfam family "Eukaryotic small subunit ribosomal RNA", at positions 1786 to 1831 of the family's 1831-position model. The record is from RNAcentral. Lineage: Eukaryota; Fungi.